GACGAACGCUGGCGGCGUGCUUAACACAUGCAAGUCGAACGGAGCGAAUGAAAGCUUGCUUUUAUAAGCUUAGUGGCAAACGGGUGAGUAACACGUAGACAACCUGCCGACAGGAUGGGGACAACAUUCCGAAAGGAAUGCUAAUACCGAAUGAAGUGCAGGGGAGGCAUCUCCCCUGCAUGAAAGAUGGCCUCUGAAUAUGCUAUUACCUGUUGAUGGGUCUGCGUCUGAUUAGCUGGUAGGUGAGGUAACGGCUCACCUAGGCGACGAUCAGUAGCCGGUCUGAGAGGAUGAACGGCCACAUUGGGACUGAGACACGGCCCAGACUCCUACGGGAGGCAGCAGUGGGGAAUCUUCCGCAAUGGGCGCAAGCCUGACGGAGCAACGCCGCGUGAGUGAAGAAGGUCUUCGGAUCGUAAAGCUCUGUUGAUGGGGACGAACGUGCCUAAUGCGAAUAGUAUUAGGU
RNAcentral lists this ribosomal RNA (466 nucleotides) under Centipeda noxia. Its description in RNAcentral is "bacterial SSU rRNA". It matches the Rfam family "Bacterial small subunit ribosomal RNA", at positions 28 to 473 of the family's 1533-position model. Lineage: Bacteria; Bacillati; Bacillota; Negativicutes; Selenomonadales; Selenomonadaceae. The record is from RNAcentral.